This is a long non-coding RNA of Cercocebus atys (sooty mangabey), 437 nucleotides long. RefSeq lists it as uncharacterized. The record is from RefSeq and is a predicted model, not a curated record. The transcript has 3 exons. Lineage: Eukaryota; Metazoa; Chordata; Mammalia; Primates; Cercopithecidae.
GCUGGUACCUGGGCUCCGGCAGGACGAUCCUCUUGCUUGCGCGGGCGGCCGGGGUAGCCUUGCUCUUCUCCAUGGCCAUCAGAGAUGCCGAUAGGGAGCCCCCUGAUGGAAGAGCUCUUGGCUUAAGAAGGUCACCACUCCCUUGCACUCAGCCCGCCACCCCCCACAAUCUAAUUCCCUGCUAAGCCUGCCAUCACCAUUGACCAGUUUUACCAUAUGCUUCUCAAGAUCCAAGGCACAAUAGGCAUAAAGUUGUCCUGAAAAGCACAAGAGGAGUGUCAGAAGUAGGAAUGGCCGUUGAAGGAGCUUGGUCUGGCAGCAGAAAGUUGAAAUGACAGGCAAGCAUGAAAUAUAUUAAUGAGACAAAGCUAUGCAUGAGCCAAAUAUCAAACUUUAAUCUUCUACCCACUGUUUUUUUUUUGUUUUUUUUUUUUUUU